AUGCAUUUUAGCAGAAGCGGAGGGAGCAACACCAGCCCCACUACCUCUGAUCUGAGCGCUCAUCUGAAUUCAAGGCUCCGUUCCACCUCACCAAAUCACAGCUUUGUCUCCAGUGAAGGAUUAACAGGCAAAGAUAUAAACUCUGCUGUUGCAGUGUGUCUCAACCAUCCCUGGAGACAGGCUUCUCCCGAUGGAACUGCAAGCACAGGUGAGCCUUGGGUUUUGGGUCCCUUUUCUUUCAAACAAUUUUCACCCUCAAAAUCAGGGCAGGUAAAUCCAGGCACAGCAGCUGAUGCCAAUUGUCACACAGUGACAACAUUGCCAGGAAAAGGCUCUGUGCAAGUCCUGGCACUUGUGAUACAUGAUUGCAUAAAUUAUGCGCUCUGCUGAGCUCAGCAGGCCACGGGCAGUUUUAAGAAGCGAGCGUAGGCGCUAGCAGCCAGCUGGUCAGAGGCGAUGGCUCAGCUCUGUGGAUUGGGGUCARGAUGGUUUUUGAUGCUGCAAUACAUCUUAAAGCAGCAGUUCCAGGGAAGUAAUUUGCUGACUACAAGACUGUAUUUUUUUUUCCUUCCAGCGCUGUUUUUUUGCUUUUUGCAGACUCAGGCUCCCUCUGGUUUGUGGGAAGAGCUAAGUGUGAUGUCAUUAAUAUMGUAUUGCCCUGGGUCCAGAAAAACGUGGGAACCAGUCUCUGAAUUUGUGUGCUUGUCCAUACUGCUUGUUCACAGCCUGAAGAUCAUUCCACAGCAGGGAUCCUGYGCCCUGUGGAAGCUUAUGACUCUCCCAGGGAAAGGGGAAACCUUCAGGUGGUGAGAAGUGCGAAGGAGUUGUACUGGGCUGUGGCAGGGCAGAUGCACUUCCCAUGAAAUAUUCAUUGUUUGGAGAAUGAAGAAGGAAAAUGUUGGUUGUGUAUGUACAUCCCUGUGUGCCAGGAUUUUCAAGCUCAUGGUGUAGGCCAGUGCUUCUUAUCCUUGUCAAGAGAAAGAUGAUUUAUCCUUUCUUUAAAAAAAAAAAAAAACCUAACUACUUUGAGGGUGGAGAAGAGACACCAAGGAUUAUUUAAGUGGUGUUGCCACAGUGGUCGUMUUUCGCAGUCAAAUAAGAUAAAUUUGACUUUUCCUUAAUUUCCCCUCUGUUUCUUUGUUUGAYGGCAUGCCUGAGAGCAUAAAUGCCUUCACUGCAAAAAAAUAUUCCAGCUCUCUAGGCGGCCCCAGGGAUGGCCCUAGGCCACAGCUUUGGAAAUCUGGUGCUUUCUGCUCCCCCCAGAAAGCCUCUGAGAUGCCUUCCUUGAUUUUCUCUUCUCUCCCACCCUACUCUAGGGCUCUUUAACUGUCUGGCUSCUUCACUGUGACAUUUCAAUCCUGAAGGAAUUCAGUUUGAAAGCCUCUCUCACCAGUUCAUGGGAAGGUAAUGUUGACUUCUGGAAACAGAAUGAAAUAAAGAACAUCARAGCAGUACUUCGAUACUCCA
Molecule: long non-coding RNA, 1467 nt
Filed under: Dromaius novaehollandiae (emu)
Lineage: Eukaryota; Metazoa; Chordata; Aves; Casuariiformes; Dromaiidae
Description: lncRNA (ENSDNVG00000016309.1)
Source: RNAcentral